AUUGAACGCUGGCGGCAGGCCUAACACAUGCAAGUCGAACGAAUGGCGGACGGGGGAGUAAUGUCUGGGAAACUGCCAGAUGGAGGGGGAUAACUACUGGAACCGGUAGCUACUACCGCAUACCAUCGGAUGUGCCCAGAUGGGAUUAGCUAGUCGGUGGGGUAACGGCUCACCUAGGCGACGAUCCCUAGCUGGUCUGAGAGGAGGACCAGCCACACUGGAACUGAGACACGGUCCAGACUCCUACGGGAGGCAGCAGUGGGGAAUAUUGCACAAUGGGCGCAAGCCUGAUGCAGCCAUGCCGCGUGUAUGAAGAAGGCCUUCGGGUUGUAAAGUACUUUCAGCGAGGAGGCGUUACUCGCAGAAGAAGCACCGGCUAACUCCGUUCCAGCAGCCGCGGUAAUUC
Molecule: ribosomal RNA, 406 nt
Filed under: uncultured bacterium
Lineage: Bacteria
Description: partial 16S ribosomal RNA
Rfam family: Bacterial small subunit ribosomal RNA
Source: RNAcentral